RNAcentral lists this ribosomal RNA (459 nucleotides) under uncultured bacterium. RNAcentral describes it as "partial 16S ribosomal RNA". It matches the Rfam family "Bacterial small subunit ribosomal RNA", at positions 338 to 795 of the family's 1533-position model. The record is from RNAcentral.
CCUACGGGAGGCAGCAGUGAGGAAUAUUGGUCAAUGGGAGAGAUCCUGAACCAGCCAAGCCGCGUGAGGGAAGACGGCCCUAUGGGUUGUAAACCUCUUUUGUCGGAGAACAAAACCCGGGACGUGUCCCGGACUGCGUGUAUCCGAAGAAAAAGCAUCGGCUAACUCCGUGCCAGCAGCCGCGGUAAUACGGAGGAUGCGAGCGUUAUCCGGAUUUAUUGGGUUUAAGGGGUGCGUAGGCGGUCCGUUAAGUCAGCGGUAAAAUUGCGGGGAUAAACCCCGUCGAGCCGUUGAAACUGGCAGACUUGAGUUGGCGAGAAGUACGCGGAAUUCCUAGUGUAGCGGUGAAAUGCGUAGAUAUUAGGAAGAACACCAGUGGCGAAGGCGGCUUUCUGGACUGAAACUGACGCUGAGGCACGAAAGCGUGGGGAGCGAACAGGAUUAGAUACCCUUGUAGUC